GACGAACGCUGGCGGCGUGCUUAACACAUGCAAGUCGAACGGAGAUUAUUAAUGAAGCUUGCGAUUUAAUAAUCUUAGUGGCGGACGGGUGAGUAACGCGUGGGCAACCUACCCAUAAGCGGGGGAUAACAGUUGGAAACGACUGCUAAUACCGCAUAAGCUAUUAAGGUCACAUGACCUUAAUAGUAAAGGUGGCGAUUUUACAUUGCUAUCACUUAUGGAUGGGCCCGCGUCUGAUUAGCUAGUUGGUGGGAUAGCAGCCUACCAAGGCAACGAUCAGUAGCCGGCCUGAGAGGGUGGACGGCCACACUGGGACUGAGACACGGCCCAGACUCCUACGGGAGGCAGCAGUGGGGAAUAUUGCGCAAUGGGGAAACCCUGACGCAGCGACGCCGCGUGAGCGAAGAAGGCCUUAGGGUCGUAAAGCUCUGUUGUAAGGGACGAAUGUUUAUCUGGCGAACAGUCAGAUAAAGUGACGGUACCUUACCAGCAAGCCCCGGCUAACCG
RNAcentral lists this ribosomal RNA (507 nucleotides) under uncultured bacterium. RNAcentral describes it as "bacterial SSU rRNA". It matches the Rfam family "Bacterial small subunit ribosomal RNA", at positions 28 to 503 of the family's 1533-position model. The record is from RNAcentral.